GUAUUUGUGAGAAGAUGACGGAAGAAAUCCUGUAUCAAAGACUUGGUUCAACGAGCAGAAAUCUGAUAGUAAGUCUCGGUCAUUCAAUGGGAAUAAGCCAUUGAACACCUUGAUGGUAUCCUGUAAGAAAGAACCUCAAGGACUUUCAGCAAGAAGAAGGAAUAGCUGAAAACAAAAAAAGGUGUAGUA
This is a non-coding RNA of Enterococcus faecium DO, 189 nucleotides long. Lineage: Bacteria; Bacillati; Bacillota; Bacilli; Lactobacillales; Enterococcaceae. The record is from Rfam.